Molecule: ribosomal RNA, 510 nt
Filed under: Ilyocoris cimicoides exclamationis
Lineage: Eukaryota; Metazoa; Arthropoda; Insecta; Hemiptera; Naucoridae
Description: partial large subunit ribosomal RNA
Rfam family: Eukaryotic large subunit ribosomal RNA
Source: RNAcentral
GAAGUCUAACAUGUGCGCGAGUCAUUGGGUGUCAAACCUAAAGGCGGAAUGAAAGUGAAGGGUAAGCUCUGCUUUCCGAGGGAGGAUGGGCACGUCGGCUCAAAGGGCGGUGCCCCGCACUCCCGGGGCGUCUCUUUCUCACUGCGAGUAGAGGCGCACCCAGAGCGUACACGUUAGGACCCGAAAGAUGGUGAACUAUGCCUGGUCAGGACGAAGCCAGGGGAAACCCUGGUGGAGGUCCGUAGCGAUUCUGACGUGCAAAUCGAUCGUCAGAGCUGGGUAUAGGGGCGAAAGACUAAUCGAACCAUCUAGUAGCUGGUUCCCUCCGAAGUUUCCCUCAGGAUAGCUGGUACCCGUGUGAGACGAGUCUCAUCCGGUAAAGCGAAUGAUUAGAGGCCUUGGGGCCGAAACGACCUCAACCUAUUCUCAAACUUUAAAUAGAUGAGAACUCCGGCUUGCUUGAAAGUGAAGCCGGAGAUUCGGAUCAGGGUGCCCAGUGGGCCAAUUUUG